Molecule: microRNA precursor, 72 nt
Filed under: Medicago truncatula (barrel medic)
Lineage: Eukaryota; Viridiplantae; Streptophyta; Magnoliopsida; Fabales; Fabaceae
Description: MIR2629 microRNA precursor family
Rfam family: MIR2629 microRNA precursor family
Source: Rfam by way of RNAcentral
UGCCUAAGUUUUCCUCGGCAGUUAACUGCAGCCUGUUCUUUAAAAUUUCAGCAGUUAACUCCCGAGGGGCAU